AGUGAAGCGGCAACAGCUCAAAUUUGAAAUCUGGCCCCCGCGGGCCCGAGUUGUAAUUUGCAGAGGAUGCUUUUGGCGCGGCGCCUUCCGAGUGCCCUGGAACGGGACGCCAUAGAGGGUGAGAGCCCCGUCUGGUCGGACGCCCAGCCUCUGUAAAGCUCCUUCGACGAGUCGAGUAGUUUGGGAAUGCUGCUCUAAACGGGAGGUAUAUGUCUUCUAAAGCUAAAUACCGGCCAGAGACCGAUAGCGCACAAGUAGAGUGAUCGAAAGAUGAAAAGCACUUUGAAAAGAGGGUUAAACAGUACGUGAAAUUGUUGAAAGGGAAGCGCUUGUGACCAGACUCGGGCGCGGCGAAUCACCCGGCGUUCUCGCCGGUGCACUUCGACGCGCCCGGGCCAGCAUCAGCUCGCCGCGGGGGACAAAGGCGCCGGGAACGUGGCUCCCCAGGGAGUGUUAUAGCCCGGCGCGCAACGCCCCGCGGCGGACUGAGGUUCGCGCGUCCGCAAGGAUGCUGGCGUAAUGGUCACCAGUGACCCGUCUUGAAACACGGACCAAGGAGUCGUCCUCGUAUGCGAGUGUUCGGGUGUCAAACCCCUACGCGCAAUGAAAGUGAACGCGGGUGAGAGCCUCGCGGCGCAUCAUCGACCGAUCCUGAUGUUCUCGGAUGGAUUUGAGUAGGAGCAUACGGGGCCGGACCCGAAAGAAGGUGAACUAUGCCUGUGUAGGGUGAAGCCAGAGGAAACUCUGGUGGAGGCUCGCAGCGGUUCUGACGUGCAAAUCGAUCGUC
Molecule: ribosomal RNA, 787 nt
Filed under: Ophiocordyceps sinensis
Lineage: Eukaryota; Fungi; Ascomycota; Sordariomycetes; Hypocreales; Ophiocordycipitaceae
Description: LSU rRNA
Rfam family: Eukaryotic large subunit ribosomal RNA
Source: RNAcentral